This 1379-nucleotide ribosomal RNA is filed under the name uncultured bacterium. Its description in RNAcentral is "16S ribosomal RNA". It matches the Rfam family "Bacterial small subunit ribosomal RNA". The record is from RNAcentral.
UUCGCCCUUAGAGUUUGAUCCUGGCUCAGGACGAACGCUGGCGGCGCGCCUAACACAUGCAAGUCGAACGAGCGAGAGAGAGCUUGCUUUCUCGAGCGAGUGGCGAACGGGUGAGUAACGCGUGAGGAACCUGCCUCAAAGAGGGGGACAACAGUUGGAAACGACUGCUAAUACCGCAUAAGCCCACGGCUCGGCAUCGAGCAGAGGGAAAAGGAGCAAUCCGCUUUGAGAUGGCCUCGCGUCCGAUUAGCUAGUUGGUGAGGUAACGGCCCACCAAGGCAACGAUCGGUAGCCGGACUGAGAGGUUGAACGGCCACAUUGGGACUGAGACACGGCCCAGACUCCUACGGGAGGCAGCAGUGGGGAAUAUUGCACAAUGGGGGAAACCCUGAUGCAGCGACGCCGCGUGGAGGAAGAAGGUCUUCGGAUUGUAAACUCCUGUUGUUGGGGAAGAUAAUGACGGUACCCAACAAGGAAGUGACGGCUAACUACGUGCCAGCAGCCGCGGUAAAACGUAGGUCACAAGCGUUGUCCGGAAUUACUGGGUGUAAAGGGAGCGCAGGCGGGAAGACAAGUUGGAAGUGAAAUCUAUGGGCUCAACCCAUAAACUGCUUUCAAAACUGUUUUUCUUGAGUAGUGCAGAGGUAGGCGGAAUUCCCGGUGUAGCGGUGGAAUGCGUAGAUAUCGGGAGGAACACCAGUGGCGAAGGCGGCCUACUGGGCACCAACUGACGCUGAGGCUCGAAAGUGUGGGUAGCAAACAGGAUUAGAUACCCUGGUAGUCCACACCGUAAACGAUGAUUACUAGGUGUUGGAGGAUUGACCCCUUCAGUGCCGCAGUUAACACAAUAAGUAAUCCACCUGGGGAGUACGACCGCAAGGUUGAAACUCAAAGGAAUUGACGGGGGCCCGCACAAGCAGUGGAGUAUGUGGUUUAAUUCGACGCAACGCGAAGAACCUUACCAAGUCUUGACAUCCCUUGACAGGCAUAGAAAUAUGUUUUCUCUUCGGAGCAAGGAGACAGGUGGUGCAUGGUUGUCGUCAGCUCGUGUCGUGAGAUGUUGGGUUAAGUCCCGCAACGAGCGCAACCCUUAUGGUCAGUUACUACGCAAGAGGACUCUGGCCAGACUGCCGUUGACAAAACGGAGGAAGGUGGGGAUGACGUCAAAUCAUCAUGCCCUUUAUGACUUGGGCUACACACGUACUACAAUGGCGUUAAACAAAGAGAAGCAAGACCGCGAGGUGGAGCAAAACUCAGAAACAACGUCCCAGUUCGGACUGCAGGCUGCAACUCGCCUGCACGAAGUCGGAAUUGCUAGUAAUCGUGGAUCAGCAUGCCACGGUGAAUACGUUCCCGGGCCUUGCACACACCGCCCGUCA